This 492-nucleotide ribosomal RNA is filed under the name uncultured bacterium. RNAcentral's name for it is "partial 16S ribosomal RNA". It matches the Rfam family "Bacterial small subunit ribosomal RNA", at positions 28 to 507 of the family's 1533-position model. The record is from RNAcentral.
GAUGAACGCUAGCUACAGGCUUAACACAUGCAAGUCGAGGGGAAACGCCAUCGAAAGCUUGCUUUUGAUGGGCGUCGACCGGCGCACGGGUGAGUAACGCGUAUCCAACCUGCCCAUCACUUGGGAAUAACCUUGCGAAAGUAAGACUAAUACCCAAUGACAUCCCACGAAGACAUCUGAAUGGGAUUAAAGAUUUAUCGGUGAUGGAUGGGGAUGCGUCUGAUUAGCUUGUUGGCGGGGUAACGGCCCACCAAGGCAACGAUCAGUAGGGGUUCUGAGAGGAAGGUCCCCCACAUUGGAACUGAGACACGGUCCAAACUCCUACGGGAGGCAGCAGUGAGGAAUAUUGGUCAAUGGGCGAGAGCCUGAACCAGCCAAGUAGCGUGCAGGAUGACGGCCCUAUGGGUUGUAAACUGCUUUUAGAAGGGAAUAAAGUGGGUCUCGUGAGACUUUUUGCAUGUACCUUAUGAAUAAGGACCGGCUAAUUCCGUG